CAGCAGCCACGGUAAUUCGAAGGGUGCAAGCGUUAAUCGGAAUUACUGGGCGUAAAGCGUGCGUAGGCGGUUUGUUAAGUCUGUUGUGAAAUCCCCGGGCUCAACCUGGGAAUGGCAAUGGAUACUGGCAAGCUAGAGUGUGUCAGAGGAUGGUGGAAUUCCCGGUGUAGCGGUGAAAUGCGUAGAUAUCGGAAGGAACACCUGUGGUGAAAGCGGCUCACUGGACCAUUUCUGACGCUGAUGCACGAAAGCUAGGGGAGCAAACAGGAUUAGAGACCCCCGUAGUCCCUGUCUCUUAUAC
Molecule: ribosomal RNA, 301 nt
Filed under: uncultured bacterium
Lineage: Bacteria
Description: partial 16S ribosomal RNA
Rfam family: Bacterial small subunit ribosomal RNA
Source: RNAcentral